RNAcentral lists this ribosomal RNA (497 nucleotides) under uncultured bacterium. RNAcentral describes it as "partial 16S ribosomal RNA". It matches the Rfam family "Bacterial small subunit ribosomal RNA", at positions 28 to 507 of the family's 1533-position model. The record is from RNAcentral.
GAUGAACGCUGGCGGCGUGCCUAAUACAUGCAAGUCGAGCGAACAGACGAGGAGCUUGCUCCUCUGACGUUAGCGGCGGACGGGUGAGUAACACGUGGAUAACCUACCUAUAAGACUGGGAUAACUUCGGGAAACCGGAGCUAAUACCGGAUAAUAUAUUGAACCGCAUGGUUCAAUAGUGAAAGACGGUUUUGCUGUCACUUAUAGAUGGAUCCGCGCCGCAUUAGCUAGUUGGUAAGGUAACGGCUUACCAAGGCAACGAUGCGUAGCCGACCUGAGAGGGUGAUCGGCCACACUGGAACUGAGACACGGUCCAGACUCCUACGGGAGGCAGCAGUAGGGAAUCUUCCGCAAUGGGCGAAAGCUUGACGGAGCAACGCCGCGUGAGUGAUGAAGGUCUUCGGAUCGUAAAACUCUGUUAUUAGGGAAGAACAAAUGUGUAAGUAACUAUGCACGUCUUGACGGUACCUAAUCAGAAAGCCACUGCUAACUACGUG